RNAcentral lists this long non-coding RNA (397 nucleotides) under Homo sapiens (human). RNAcentral describes it as "HSALNT0135310". Lineage: Eukaryota; Metazoa; Chordata; Mammalia; Primates; Hominidae. The record is from RNAcentral.
GGAGCGCUUCAGGUGCUCCAAAUUAGGGAUAAUUCAGCCUAUUAGUCAAAUGAAGUCAAAAAGUUAAUUUGUAGCUGCCAGCUGUUGAAAGGAAACUUAUAAAGCUCCACAGACCUACACAGCCCAGUGGGGGAACGCGGAUGCAGAGCGAUACACGCGGAGGACUUUGAAUAAACACAAUCAACAGUGUCAGCUGAGAAAAGCUUGGCGGUGGCCAGGUGGCCUCAUGGACGAAGAGAUAAUGGAAGUAAUGACGGGGAAAGAAGUGGAGCCAUCCCAUGUCCUGCAAUAUCAUACAACUAAAGCUGCACCAGAGUUGCCAGGGCCUUUGGCAGAUUGCCAGGCGAUAUCCUGCAAAGAUGCCCAUCUCUGUGCAUGCUGGUGAAGUGGCAGUAAG